AUGGGCCGAAAGAAGAAGACUUUACAUGACUAUGCAGCUGAGUUUACAGACCUGGGGGUAAAACGGCAUGUGAUUGAACACAGUGAGUCUGGGGGCACCUCUGUGGUAGAGACUCUAUACUGCAAAUCCUGUGAGCUGCCCAUGAGGGUGAGGAGGGACCGCAUCCUGGAGCACCUGUCCUCUGGCAGGCAUUAUAGGAACCGUCACCGCAUGAAGCAGCGUGGAGGCCAAACUCCCAUCUUUAUAUCAGCAGCCUCAGACCUGAGUAGCCACCUCCCUGUACAGGUUGAUCCUCCUCCAGCCUUGCUUUCUCAGCCUCCCUAUGUUUUCCCAGGCGUUCCCUGCCUUACCAGUACCAGUGCCAGCAUGGUGCCUUCACCUCCUUCCUACCACAGAGCUUUGCUCCCUGCCCACCUCAGUGCUAUCAGCUCCACAACCAGUGCCGUGCCUGUCAGAGAAGACCAAACUCCAUCUACCUCCACCAACCACCCUUCUGCAUUCACGACUCUUCACGUGAAAAGCCCCGCCGUCCCCUCAGAACAGAAUAGCCAAAGGCUUAUUGUUUCAGAAGCAUCCAGCAGUGUGGCUUCUGGAAGCGGAGUAGGAUGGCUUCUUAGUGAUGGGGCUUUGGGAAGCAGCCUUGGCCUUGCUCUCUUUGGUGUAGGCUCUGGGAACAAGGCAUUGUUUCAGAGCUUAGUGGAAGAAGACAGCUGCUGCCUGCUCUACGUGGUUGAAGAUCAGCUGUCAGAUGUCGAGCAGGCCUUCAGAUCAGACCAUUUGGUGAACACCCGCGUGCUUCGGGAGCAAGAUGCCAACAUUGUACUUAAUGAUCAGCGUGUCUCUGGAGUCAUUAUCUGUUCACCCCCUGAAGCAGCUUCUGAAAUUGUGAUGGGUGCAUUGAGAGCAGGUGGGAUCUUUUAUAACGCUGCUGUGCAUGACGUGGACAUCGUCAGUCUCUUGUUGGGAGAGAGUGUUCCAGACACAGUCUUUUCUUUGGGUCAUGCGUUCUGCUCAGAUGUGGCCUCUUUGAAAGAUGCAGACAGUGUCAUGGUCAGCAUGAAGUUUCCUAGUGGGGCCAUUGUUAGUUUGGAUAUCAGUCAACACUGCACCAAAAGCUGUGACCUGAGAGUGGAGGUUCAUGGUUCUCAAGGAACUUUACGGGUCGAUAAUCAGAAUCCCUUGGGGAUUACUGAGCGUGGAACCUCCGUGUCCAUAUACUCACACACACAUGUCGAUCGGUACCAAGAAGCAUAUAGAGGACUCUUUCGACACUUUCUCAGAACCCUUAAAGGAAAAGAACCCCCAACUGUCCCCAAAGAACAGUUUCUCUGGACCAUUCAGGUGGCUGCAGCAGCUGAGCAAUCCUGGCGGAAUGGGUCAGCUGUCGACUUCAGCAAUGAAGGUUGAGAUAUAAAUGCGAUGUCGGUUAUCAAGAUGGAAAUACUGUGAAGAGGGAAUAACUGACUUAAGUUUUGCUGAAGAAGACAACCUUAUACCUAUUUCCAUUUUCAUUAAUUUAAAAAAAUUAAUUGCAGUGUUUUGUGACUUUAUUUUCACUGGAAACCAUGAGCUGGGAACUUUGGGGAAAUGUGUGUAUAUGGUAAUGGUGUAGCAAGUAAUUUUCUUAGGAUGUUGUAUUAGGCCCAAAAAUGAAGCUUGAAAGGCAUCAUUCUGUUAGUGUGUAUUUUUCCUUGUGUUCGAAGGAGGCAUUUAGGUGAGAAAGGCUGACAUUUUGUUUUUAAAGAACACGUAUGCAUUAUCCAUCCUGAGAAACAUACCAGCCAUUUACUUCCCACACUGUGGCAACAAAACAUGCUUCUGUGAAAAUAGGUUUGUUGCCCCCGCAUGGAUAUGUGGUCUGUUUUGGGGGGCGAGGGCGGGGAGGAAGGAUGGAGUGAUGCUCCUUUUUCUUUUGAGACGGGGUGGGACAAACAGUCUAAGAUAGGGCUCUUUUCCCCCUCAGACAGUCAAAUCUAGAUGAGAUUGUGUAUAAAUGUUACAGAAAAAGAUAGUGCCUUCCAAAAUGGGCCACUCUGCUUUAACUCAAGUUUGGGGUUAUCUUUUUUAUUCUUAUGUCAGACUUACUGCAGAUGUUUUUAUAUAUUUGAAGAUUCUUGUCUGUAAUUUCUCAUAUCCUACUUUUUCAAAUAAAAGUAAGUUUUCUAAC
This 2167-nucleotide long non-coding RNA is filed under the name Vombatus ursinus (common wombat). Its description in RNAcentral is "lncRNA (ENSVURG00010023855.1)". The record is from RNAcentral. Lineage: Eukaryota; Metazoa; Chordata; Mammalia; Diprotodontia; Vombatidae.